GACGAACGCUGGCGGCGUGCUUAACACAUGCAAGUCGAGCGGUAAGGCCCUUCGGGUACACGAGCGGCGAACGGGUGAGUAACACGUGGGUGACCUGCCUUUAGCUCUGGGAUAAGCCUGGGAAACUGGGUCUAAUACCGGAUAUGACCUCAUGAUGCAUGUUGUGGGGUGGAAAGCCUUGUGCGGCUGGAGAUGGGCCCGCGGCCUAUCAGCUUGUUGGUGGGGUGANGGCCUACCAAGGCGACGACGGGUAGCCGGCCUGAGAGGGCGACCGGCCACACUGGGACUGAGACACGGCCCAGACUCCUACGGGAGGCAGCAGUGGGGAAUCUUGCGCAAUGGGCGAAAGCCUGACGCAGCGACGCCACGUGAGGAUGACGGCU
RNAcentral lists this ribosomal RNA (383 nucleotides) under uncultured bacterium. RNAcentral describes it as "bacterial SSU rRNA". It matches the Rfam family "Bacterial small subunit ribosomal RNA", at positions 28 to 416 of the family's 1533-position model. The record is from RNAcentral.